This 460-nucleotide ribosomal RNA is filed under the name uncultured bacterium. Its description in RNAcentral is "partial 16S ribosomal RNA". It matches the Rfam family "Bacterial small subunit ribosomal RNA", at positions 338 to 795 of the family's 1533-position model. The record is from RNAcentral.
CCUACGGGUGGCAGCAGUGAGGAAUAUUGGUCAAUGGCCGUAAGGCUGAACCAGCCAAGCCGCGUGAAGGAAGGAGGUUCUAUGGAUUGUAAACUUCUUUUAUAGGGGAAUAAAGUUAUCCACGUGUGCAUAUUUGCAUGUACUCUAUGAAUAAGCAUCGGCUAACUCCGUGCCAGCAGCCGCGGUAAUACGGAGGAUGCGAGCGUUAUCCGGAUUUAUUGGGUUUAAAGGGUGCGUAGGUUGUGUUGUAAGUCAGCGGUGAAAGUUUGGGGCUCAACCCUAAAAUUGCCGUUGAAACUGGAGGACUGGAGUGGGUGUGAGGUAGGCGGAAUGCGUGGUGUAGCGGUGAAAUGCAUAGAUAUCACGCAGAACUCCGAUUGCGAAGGCAGCUUACUAAGCCAUAACUGACACUGAAGCACGAAAGCGUGGGGAUCGAACAGGAUUAGAUACCCGAGUAGUC